RNAcentral lists this long non-coding RNA (622 nucleotides) under Trifolium pratense (red clover). RNAcentral describes it as "long non-coding RNA (TPRA_LNC010146)". Lineage: Eukaryota; Viridiplantae; Streptophyta; Magnoliopsida; Fabales; Fabaceae. The record is from RNAcentral.
AUCUGCAUAAUUGAUUCAAAUUUUGCACCAUAUAUUUGGGAGAUCUUUGAGAGACAAUGAGGUGAUCACAAUGAAUAUUUAGCAUAAAGUUUGAUGCACCAAAGUUGAAGAUUACUGGCAUAUAAAAAUGAUAUGUAGUCCAUUUUCCCGGGUAUUGUAAGUUAAUUUUUUGCACUUCUCACUCGGAAAUAGCUAAGACUUGAAGAUAGAAAUAAGGUGGUUUGCUUGUGGAGAUAUAUGUUUCCCUCCCUUUUUGAUCUCUGUAUUCUGAACAUGAUGUUCCACAUAAUCGCAGGUGACACCCGUCCUAUUCCAUUCCCAACAUUUGUCAAGGUUAUUAUUAUCCCUAUAGUAGGAUUAACCGGAGCACAAAAGGCAGCGAAGGAGGUUGUGUUGCAUUGAGGUGUUGAUAUUUUCAGCAGUGUUGUUUUUGGAAUGCCAUAUUUUAAUGAAUUGUUGAAAUAUAAAAAAGGACAUGUUAUUUAGAUUUUAGACCACCUGCAUAGCAAUUUGGCUGGAUUUUGGAAUUGGAAUGUCACAGUGGGUGUGUUGAACGAAGGGGAUGAGCAGGAAGUUCACAAACUUACGGCAAUUGAUGUGGAAGAGGAGGAUAGGCUCGAAU